AACCCUUCGCUUCCCUUCUCCACAACCGCUCUGCGCCUGGUUUGUUUGUUUUUUAAUUUUAAUUUUUUCGUGUGUUUUUUGAAACGGGGGUCUCGCUAUGUUGCGCAGGCUGUUCUCGAACUCCUGAGCUCAAGCUGUCCGCCCGCCUCGGCCUCCCAAAGUGCUGGGAAUACAGGCGUGAGCCACCGCGCCCGGCCGCUCCUGUUUUUCUUUAUUAUUUUCUCUUAUGUCUUAGUACCCCAACUACAUGAUAAAUUCCUCCAUAUUUAACAAUUUGUAACUUAAUUAACUGAAUUCCUAAUUCCUUACCUAAUUACUUAAUUCCUAACUUAACCUUCUAAUGAAUUUAUAGCCCCUGUCUCCCACUGAAUGACUGUGACCUAAGACCAUGGGGUAUGGUGUCUCAUUGUCUGCGUUCCUGGCUCCACUCUAUAUGGACUUGCUCAAGUUAUACUUAAAUCGUUGCCUCAAUUUAUCAGUUGAGAAUGGUAAAAGUUUGUAAUUUAUAAAUUCAGUGAAUUAACUGAGUCAAUUCAUGCAACAGUUUUGUAAACCAAAAAUAAAAUUCUAAGUCCCCCAACCAACUGAAUGGACCACUUCUCUCAGCCAAAACAUUCCAAAGAAAACCUGGCAAUCUAGUUCAGGCCAUGAUGGGAAGCAGGGGAUCGGACUUGCCUCGUUAUGCCCUUGGAAUUCAGGCACUACGGACCAGCAUUAACAUUAAAACAGAGAUCUUGAGACUGACUAAAACUUUUUUUUUUUUUUUCCGAGAUGGAGUCUUACUCUGUAGCCCAGGCUGGAGUACAGUUUCCCGAUCUCGGCUCACUGCAACCUCCGCCUCCCGGGUUCAAGCAAUUCUCCUGCCUCA
This 868-nucleotide long non-coding RNA is filed under the name Homo sapiens (human). RNAcentral's name for it is "non-protein coding lnc-ULK4-16:1". The record is from RNAcentral. Lineage: Eukaryota; Metazoa; Chordata; Mammalia; Primates; Hominidae.